Orbicella faveolata is the source of this 662-nucleotide long non-coding RNA. The record is from RefSeq and is a predicted model, not a curated record. NCBI's taxonomy places the organism in Eukaryota, Metazoa, Cnidaria, Anthozoa, Scleractinia, Merulinidae.
CAGUCCUGGGGUGAUUAUCACUGAAAUACACAAACGAGGGGGUAUGGACGAUGAAGAAUACUCGAAGUUCUUAGAACAUUCUAAACUGACACACGCCUUGGGUCGCCCUGGACAUGUGGAAGAAGUGGCUAGUGUAAUCGCUUUCCUGGCGUCAAGUGACUCGUCUUUCAUGACGGGAGCCUCACUGCCUGUAGACGGAGGAAGGCACGCUAUGUGCCCGAGAUAAAAAAACAAAAAACAAAAAAACAAAAACAAAAACAAACAAGACAAAACAAAACUACAAACUGAGCAUUGUUACCAAAAGAAAACAAGACCAACUUAAUAUCAAGUGCGCGAGGAACAGAUCACUUAUCAUUCUAUGUAGUAUCUGGACUCACGUAAGAACCAUCGCUUGAAGACUGAUUUCAAUAGUAAAUGCCAAACGGUAGAAAGAAUCAUCCAAGGCUUGAUAGCACUUAGCUUAACGUUCGACUGCAGUGCACCUUUUUAUUUUCUUUCCUUUGAAGGUUACGUUCUACCGUUAUGAAUGAAUUAAUGAAAUGAUGUUUGAGAAGUGGAAUGAUGUGAUAAUGUAACUUCAUUUACGAGGGAUUGCGUGAUCUAGCAAAAAAAAUAUAUUCUUGGUGGCCAAAUAUCUGCAAAUAAAGUUUAUUUCAAUCAAA